GUUGAACGCUGGCGGCGGGCCUAACACAUGCAAGUCGAGCGGAUGAAGGGAGCUUGCUCCUGGAUUCAGCGGCGGACGGGUGAGUAAUGCCUAGGAAUAUGCCUGGUUGUGGGGGAUAACGUCCGGAAACGGGCGCUAAUACCGCAUACGACCUGCGGGAGAAAGUGGGGGAUCUUCGGACCGUACGCUCUCAGAGGAGCCUAGGUCGGGUUAGCUAGUUGGUGGGGUAAAGGCCUACCAAGGCGCCGAUCCGUAACUGGUCUGAGAGGAUGAUCGGCCACACUGGAACUGAGACACGGUCCAGACUCCUGAGGGAGGCAGCAGUGGGGAAUAGUGGACAAUGGGCGAAAGCCUGAUCCAGCCAGGCCGCGUGUGUGAAGAAGGUCUUCGGAUUGGAAAGCACUUUAAGUGGGGAGGAAGGGCAGUAAGUUAAUACCUUGCUGUUUUGACGUUACCAACAGAAGAAGCACCGGCUAACUUCGUG
RNAcentral lists this ribosomal RNA (484 nucleotides) under uncultured bacterium. Its description in RNAcentral is "partial 16S ribosomal RNA". It matches the Rfam family "Bacterial small subunit ribosomal RNA", at positions 28 to 507 of the family's 1533-position model. The record is from RNAcentral.